RNAcentral lists this ribosomal RNA (595 nucleotides) under Pseudomonas nitroreducens. RNAcentral describes it as "bacterial SSU rRNA". It matches the Rfam family "Bacterial small subunit ribosomal RNA", at positions 61 to 651 of the family's 1533-position model. Lineage: Bacteria; Pseudomonadati; Pseudomonadota; Gammaproteobacteria; Pseudomonadales; Pseudomonadaceae. The record is from RNAcentral.
GUCGAGCGGAUGAUGGGAGCUUGCUCCCGGAUUCAGCGGCGGACGGGUGAGUAAUGCCUAGGAAUCUGCCUGGUAGUGGGGGACAACGUUUCGAAAGGAACGCUAAUACCGCAUACGUCCUACGGGAGAAAGCAGGGGACCUUCGGGCCUUGCGCUAUCAGAUGAGCCUAGGUCGGAUUAGCUAGUUGGUGGGGUAAAGGCCUACCAAGGCGACGAUCCGUAACUGGUCUGAGAGGAUGAUCAGUCACACUGGAACUGAGACACGGUCCAGACUCCUACGGGAGGCAGCAGUGGGGAAUAUUGGACAAUGGGCGAAAGCCUGAUCCAGCCAUGCCGCGUGUGUGAAGAAGGUCUUCGGAUUGUAAAGCACUUUAAGUUGGGAGGAAGGGCAGUAAGUUAAUACCUUGCUGUUUUGACGUUACCAACAGAAUAAGCACCGGCUAACUUCGUGCCAGCAGCCGCGGUAAUACGAAGGGUGCAAGCGUUAAUCGGAAUUACUGGGCGUAAAGCGCGCGUAGGUGGUUUGGUAAGAUGGAUGUGAAAUCCCCGGGCUCAACCUGGGAACUGCAUCCAUAACUGCCUGACUAGAGUACGG